UAGGGAAUCUUCCACAAUGGGCGAAAGCCUGAUGGAGCAACGCCGCGUGUGNGAUGAAGGGUUUCGGCUCGUAAAACACUGUUGUAAGAGAAGAAUGACAUUGAGAGUAACUGUUCAAUGUGUGACGGUAUCUUACCAGAAAGGAACGGCUAAAUACGUGCCAG
RNAcentral lists this ribosomal RNA (164 nucleotides) under uncultured bacterium. Its description in RNAcentral is "partial 16S ribosomal RNA". It matches the Rfam family "Bacterial small subunit ribosomal RNA", at positions 355 to 511 of the family's 1533-position model. The record is from RNAcentral.